GAUGAACGCUAGCGGCAGGCUUAACACAUGCAAGUCGAGGGGCAGCACGUCUUCGGAUGGUGGCGACCGGCGCACGGGUGAGUAACGCGUAUGCAAUCUACCUUUUACAGGGGCAUAGCCCGGGGAAACCCGGAUUAAUAUCCUAUAGUACCAUUAUAUAGCAUUAUAUUAUGGUUAAAGUUUCGGCGGUAAAAGAUGAGCAUGCGUCCUAUUAGCUUGAUGGUAAGGUAACGGCUUACCAUGGCUAUGAUAGGUAGGGGUCCUGAGAGGGAGACCCCCCACACUGGUACUGAGACACGGACCAGACUCCUACGGGAGGCAGCAGUGAGGAAUAUUGGACAAUGGGCGCAAGCCUGAUCCAGUCAUGCCGCGUGCAGGAAGACGGCCCUAUGGGUUGUAAACUGCUUUUUANACGGGAAGAAACACCCCUUCGUGAAGGGACUUGACGGUACCGUAUGAAUAAGGAUCGGCUAACUCCGUGCCAGCAGCCGCGGUAAUACGGAGGAU
RNAcentral lists this ribosomal RNA (507 nucleotides) under uncultured bacterium. RNAcentral describes it as "bacterial SSU rRNA". It matches the Rfam family "Bacterial small subunit ribosomal RNA", at positions 28 to 533 of the family's 1533-position model. The record is from RNAcentral.